RNAcentral lists this long non-coding RNA (1304 nucleotides) under Monodelphis domestica (gray short-tailed opossum). RNAcentral describes it as "lncRNA (ENSMODG00000037374.1)". The record is from RNAcentral. Lineage: Eukaryota; Metazoa; Chordata; Mammalia; Didelphimorphia; Didelphidae.
AGAUAGAUAAAUAAUUUGCUUAUAUAUGCUUAUAUGUUAUAUACUAAUAGUUGUUUGCAUAUACAUAAUUAUCUCCCUCUUUAGAUCAUAAACUCCUUGAAGACAAGGACUGUCUUUUUGCCUUUCUACCUGGCACAUAAUAGGAAAUAAAAAUAAAUGCUUAUCAGCUUAACUUAAAAUGUCAGUCUAAGGAUUCUACCUUUUAUUCUAUAGGUAUUAAGGAAACCCUGGACUAUUUUUGUGCAGGGAAGUGUCACGUCAGAGCCAAGCAUAAGACAAUUGUUUCUGCAUAAGAACGUAUUGAAGAGAGGAAAAAAUAAAAGAGAAACAUGUAAUAGUCUAGGAAUACGAAUGAGUCCCAGGAAGACUUUGCCAUUAUAAGCACAAGAAAAAGCUGUCAGAAAAGUAAAUUAUGUAAGUAAACAAGAAUAUGUGUAUGUGUGAAUCUAUGAAAUACACCAUAGAAGAUUAAAGAAAACAAUGGCAUUUGUAAACUAGUUCAAACAAAACUACAGAAAAGGAGGGAGGAUACAUAUUUUGAACCAAUCCAAAUUGACUUUACAUAUCCAUUUAAAAAGUAAUUUUGCUGCAAAAAAAUGCAAAACAACUCUAGUUUAGAAAACUAAGGAUUGUUUCCAUUUAGACUAAUAUAGAAUAUUAUGAAGAAUUGUGGGGAUUCAAGUUAAGACUAAGAACAAUAUAACCUUUUUUAGCCCAGAUGAAGGUCCAUAUUUUCAGUGUUUCUUUUCCUCUAUCUAAAUGAAAUAAUAGCAUACUUAAACAUUUAUUUUAAAGGCCCUCCUGGGCAGAUUUGGAUAGGAACUAGAAAACUUUUUUAAUGAAAACUUCUAAAAUUCAAUCCUGGCUUUUUAUUCUGGGAUGUGGACCUAUACCUCAAGAAGAGUGAUUUGGGGUUCAACUGAAAGUGUUGUUACCUUUCUUGCCUGAGGGUUUCUUGUUCCUGCUCUUUAAACCUUUAUCUUCUGUCUUAGGAUCAAUCUAGGACAGAGGAACAGCAAAAGCUAAGCAAGUCAGGUUUAAGUGACUUGCCCAGAGUCACAUAGCUAGGAAGUAUCUGAGGCUACAUUUGAACCCACAUCUUCCUGACUCCAGGUUGCUGGUGAUACUUUUUUUUUUAAACCCUUACCUUCAGUCUUGGAAUCAAUAUUGUGUAUUGGUUCCAAGGCAGAAGAGUGGUAAGGGCUAGGCAAUGGGGGUUAAGUGACUUGCCCAGGGUCACACAGAUAGGAAGUGUCUAAGGCCAAAUCUGAACCUAGGACCUCCUGUCUCUAGGACUGGCUCUC